UACAGAGGGUGCGAGCGUUGUUCGGAAUUAUUGGGCGUAAAGGGCGCGUAGGCGGUGCGGUAAGUCACCUGUGAAAUCUCCUGGCUCAACUGGGAGCUUGCAGGCGAAACUGCCGUGCUGGAGUGUGGGAGAGGUGCGUGGAAUUCCUGGUGUAGCGGUGAAAUGCGUAGAUAUCAGGAGGAACACCUGUGGCGAAAGCGGCGCACUGGACCACAACUGACGCUGAGGCGCGAAAGCGCGGGGAGCAAACAGG
RNAcentral lists this ribosomal RNA (253 nucleotides) under uncultured bacterium. RNAcentral describes it as "partial 16S ribosomal RNA". It matches the Rfam family "Bacterial small subunit ribosomal RNA", at positions 524 to 776 of the family's 1533-position model. The record is from RNAcentral.